Molecule: ribosomal RNA, 448 nt
Filed under: uncultured organism
Description: partial 16S ribosomal RNA
Rfam family: Bacterial small subunit ribosomal RNA
Source: RNAcentral
ACUCCUGCGGGAGGCAGCAGUGGGGAAUAUUGGACAAUGGGCGCAAGCCUGAUCCAGCCAUGCCGCGUGAGUGAUGAAGGCCCUAGGGUUGUAAAGCUCUUUCACCGGUGAAGAUAAUGACGGUAACCGGAGAAGAAGCCCCGGCUAACUUCGUGCCAGCAGCCGCGGUAAUACGAAGGGGGCUAGCGUUGUUCGGAUUUACUGGGCGUAAAGCGCACGUAGGCGGACUAUUAAGUCAGGGGUGAAAUCCCGGGGCUCAACCCCGGAACUGCCUUUGAUACUGGUAGUCUUGAGUUCGAGAGAGGUGAGUGGAAUUCCGAGUGUAGAGGUGAAAUUCGUAGAUAUUCGGAGGAACACCAGUGGCGAAGGCGGCUCACUGGCUCGAUACUGACGCUGAGGUGCGAAAGCGUGGGGAGCAAACAGGAUUAGAUACCCGAGUAGUCCCAUG